This 3647-nucleotide long non-coding RNA is filed under the name Malus domestica (apple). RNAcentral's name for it is "long non-coding RNA (MDOM_LNC016750)". Lineage: Eukaryota; Viridiplantae; Streptophyta; Magnoliopsida; Rosales; Rosaceae. The record is from RNAcentral.
UCACGACGACCAGCUACUUGGUGGUUGUCAACAACGGCGACCACCACCUCGGCCACUCUCCCACCCUUUGAUUCUCAUUCUCCAACUCUCUCAUCUCUUUGACAUAACAAUACCAAAUUGCGGAAAGAGAAGUUCGAUUUUUAUUGCAGUUCUUCCAAUCGACAACAAGGUACUUUGUUUCUCUAUAUUUCCUAAAUUGUUUUUGGAUUUUGUUCUCCAAUUAAUUCUUUGGUUGCCAAGUUUAGACACCCAGUUAUAAAUUUCCUUUAUAUUUCAAAAAUUAAUCAGCUACAAUAUAUUAUAUUCCCUGCAAAUUUUGCCUCUGUUGUGAAGGUCGCACAUUUUUUGCCAUAUGUAUGUAAAAUUUGCAAACUACAAACAAUGAAAUGUUCUUUCCUACUCUCCUUUCUCGCUGCCUAUUCUGCAUUUGUAAUUCCCUAUUUGUUUUGGUGAAAUGUGAAGUUAUUUUACGUGUAAUAAGUUGGUAGGUUUAUGUUUGAGCAACAUCUCUUUUAAGUGUUUGGAUUUUGUUAAGUUCUGGAUGUUAUUGUUCUGCAGUUUUUAGUACACAAUUUGAACAACAUGACCUUAUUAACUACUAUAACAAAGAUGAAGAAUUAUUGAAGUUAACUUAAUUCUGGGUUUGUGUUGGUCCAUUACAUAUUAAUAACAAACAUUUGACGUGCUCCUGACUAUAAACCUUGCAUAGGCUUGUGACUGUUAUUUGUUUCAGCAACUUAUUAAUCUUGUGUACAAGUCAAAAGCUUUCAUUUGAUGGACGAUGACUCCUUUGUCUGUUGUGUUUUCUUAAGCUUAUCUUAUUGAGGGCUUUCCAUAUAGGAUUUAACGGUAGUUUAUAUUGGAUGUUUUUUAAUGUCAAAUACUGUUUUUAGUUUUCAGAUUCUCUUCCUAUCUAUUUGUUUUCUUCCUCUCAAUUUUUGUUUCCAAAUUUUCAUUAAGUUAGAGUAAUGAAAUUGGUAUACAUGUUGGUCAAUACUUUUGCAUUCAGCAGUUUUGGGUUGCUUGAAAAAAAAAAAACUAUGCAUAUGAGACCCACUAUAACCCCAUCAUGUUCAUUCACUACCAUAACCAAAGCCAAACAGUUAUAGAAUUAUAAGAAAUUCUAUUUCAUAAUUUAAAAUUUAAACCACAGCUUAUGCUUAAUGUGGUUUUAUUUGGCUACUUGCUCUGAUGCACAAUCCACAAUCCAAGUACAAUCCACAAACCACAAACACCGUUUAGUUUAUUCUGAUGCACACUUACCUUUCUAUACACGUAUGAAAUUUUUAUACUUUCAUGAUUUUUAGGAUUGAAGGUGCUAAAGAUCGAGAUUAAUUAAGUACAAGACCAAAGCUUCAAGUAAGUAUGUUGUCUUAAUGAUUGCAAUUUACAAUGACAUAAUAUUACUGCUACCUCUAGCCAAAUUAUCAUUACAUAUGAAUAGUAAUGAAGAGUAUGAAGUAUUGUGCAUGUAUUGAAAGCAUGCUGGUUUUUCUGUUAGGUUAUUACAAUUUAUUAUCUAGCAUGCUGAUUUUUGUGUGAUUUUGCUAUUUUUUAGUAUGCUUGUUUUAGUAUCUAGUUGCUCUUGAGUUGGGAUGUGUAUUUUUUGAAUUGAGCUUCUUGACGUUUUUGGUUGUUAUAUUAUAUGUCUAUCUUAAUAAUUUUUCAUAUAUAUUUUAUUAGGGUAAUGCUAGGGAGUUCAAAUUAUUUAAACCCAAUUUGCAAACCAAAUGAUGUGGUUGUAGAUGAUUGGAUUAUUAACUAAGUGUCGAUUAACGUUCUUGUUUCUUAUUGGUGACACAUCAUUUGGUUUGCAAUUUGGUUUAAAAAUUUUGGUCUCCCUAGCAUUAUCCAUUUUAUUAUGGCAACAUAUUGAAAUAAGAGUGUGCAGCUCAGUACUAGGAGUCUAGGAUUGAAGUGAUCUGACUUCAUGGAUCGACAAUGGAUUCGUAGUCGGGAUCACCUUAGUUCCGAAUAUAGAGAAGGGGUCAAGUUAUUUAUUGACAUUGCUUGUCACCAUGUGAACUAGAAUAAUCAAAUACCAUGACCUUGUAGAGUUUGUCAUAACAUCUUUUUUUGGUAUGGAUGUGAAUUAUGAUGGAUGGAUAUAUCAUGGGGAACAUAUCCAUAAAAAACAUAGGUCACUGACUUUUGUAUUUUAUGAUGCUGAUAUCGUUACAUAUUAGAUUUAUAAGUGACGACAGAAGUAUCACGUAAAAGUAAAAUAUGUGGCAACUCUACCAUUUUGCCACUUAAACUAUCGCUGACGUUGUAUAGGUGAUGGUAAUUGUGACGUUGGAAUUUUGUCACAUAUAGUCAAAUGUGACGAAUUUUCAUAUUUAUGUGAUUAAUGUUGGUCGCUACAAGAGUCUUGUUUUCUUGUAGUGGGUGCUUUGCAAUGGUUUUGAAGGAUACAUAAUUGUUUUUUCUCUUCAAGUGAUGGUAUGUGUUUACCUUGUGUAUUUAAAGGUGUUGGGUCCAGCUUGUAAUGUUUAAGUAUUGUGAGCUUAUCUAACUUGUUGGGUAGGUGUGGAUCUUCCGUAGCUAAGGAAUCAUACUUGCGAGGAGUUUGUUUUGGGUUGUGUUAUUUUGUUUGUUUUGUUUAUGGUUUUGUGAUGCCUCAUAGAAAGACUUCUUUGUCGAAGGAGCAUCGUCUAUUGCAAGUUCAUAAAAAAGUGAAGCAAGGUUUUGUCCUUGUGAGCAUUAACUUUUUGUUUGGUUAGGUGUGGUUAUGUGACUAGGUUUUGUAUGGGUUUUUUUUGUUACGUUUGUAAUUAUAAAAUUAAUUUCUUAUCAAUGAUGUUCAUGGUUUUAUUUUAUUAAUAAAAUGUUUUUUAUCUUAAAAAAAAUGCAAAUCCAUACUUAAAGUUGUUCAAUAAUGUUUGUUUUGUUCUUUUAUUAUAUCUUGUAUUGGUUGUUGGAGAAGAGAAGUGAAAAAUGGCACAGACUAAGAGUUUGGAAGCGAAAGACGCACUGAUUGAAGCCUUUAUUGAGAGAAAGGCUAACUAUCAAUCACGAGAUUUCUGAUUUUGUUUGUUGUGGCUACUACCAUGAUCAGGAUAGGGUUUAUGUCCCCUUGACAAAUUGUACUUUUUAUUUUCUUUUUAUAAAUCUACCCCAUUGUCACUUUCCAUGAUAAUAAUGCUAAAGUGAGAUUGACUUUGUGAAUUUACAGGAAAAAAAAAACACACGAAGGAAAAAAAAAAGGCUAAAAAAAACUCAAAAAUUGUGUUUUUUGUUGUAGUAUGAAUUUAGUGAAUGAAGAAAGAGGGAGAUUUGCCAGAGGGAGAUAAGUGCUUGAGUACUUCGUGAGUCAUAUUCCUCAUGCCUUAUUCCUUUAUUUAUACUAAUAAAGAAGAUAGAAACUUGCUCAGUAAUACAAGUUGUACAAAGAAAAUCUUCUAAAUCUCAUAGGAUUUGUAUAGAUAAUCUACUAAGAUUUAUACAAUCAUAUUCCUAAUUAAAAUAGAAUUGCAACACUCCCUCAUGAGUGUGCAAGUACUCAAGUAGAUGACACAUCAAGUCUCCAACGAUAAUGUAGAGGUAGUUGAUGAAGUUAUUGGCACAAUGAAUGAAUGUGAGUCUAAACUAACAAACUGAAGAAUGCAUAGUAGUAUUCCACGAUAAUGUAAGUACUCAAGAUAUUG